AGCAGCCGCGGUAAUUCCAGCUCCAAUAGCGUAUAUUAAAGUUGUUGCAGUUAAAAAGCUCGUAGUUGAAUUUCGGAGUUUGUCGGUUGGUCGGGCUUCACUGUCCGCACUGGCCUGAUGGAUUCCUACCUUCUGAAUAACCAGCAUGCUAUUAAUUUAGUGCGUUGGGGAAGCAGAGCUAUUACCUUGAAAAAUUAGAGUGCUUAAAGCAGGCUUACGCUUGAAUAGAUUAGCAUGGAAUAAUAAAAUAGGACGGCUUGGUUCUAUUUUGUUGGUUUCUAGGAUCACCGUAAUGAUUAAUAGGGAUAGUUGGGGGCAUUAGUGUUCAAUUGUCAGAGGUGAAAUUCUUGGAUUUAUUGAAGACUAACUUCUGCGAAAGCAUUUGCCAAGGAUGUUUUCAUUAAUCAAGAACGAAAGUUAGGGGAUCGAAGACGAUCAGAUACCGUCGUAGUCUUAACCAUAAACUAUGCCGACUAGGGAUCGGACGAUGUUAAUUUUUAAUGACUCGUUCGGCGCCUUA
This 520-nucleotide ribosomal RNA is filed under the name uncultured Acaulospora. RNAcentral describes it as "SSU rRNA". It matches the Rfam family "Eukaryotic small subunit ribosomal RNA", at positions 569 to 1090 of the family's 1831-position model. The record is from RNAcentral. Lineage: Eukaryota; Fungi; Glomeromycota; Glomeromycetes; Diversisporales; Acaulosporaceae.